This 1483-nucleotide long non-coding RNA is filed under the name Marmota monax (woodchuck). Lineage: Eukaryota; Metazoa; Chordata; Mammalia; Rodentia; Sciuridae. The record is from RNAcentral.
GGGCGGGACAGGCGGCGGCGCGCGGGCUCAGGGUCCGGCAGCGGCGACAGUGGUGGCCACGGCUCCUUAUCCCUGCGGCUGCUUGCGUGCGGGCCAGCCGGUCCGCGCGUCCCUCGGUGUGUUUCCGCCGGCCGGCCGAGCGGGCCAAGCCCGCGUGGGGAGCACCCGCCGGCCGCAUGGCCGCCAUCAAAGCGCUGCAGCUGUGGUGCCGGCAGCAGUGCGAGGGGUACCGCGACGUGAACAUCACCAACAUGACCACGUCGUUCCGCGACGGCCUGGCCUUCUGCGCCAUCCUGCACCGCCACAGACCUGACCUCAUGUGAGUGAGGCUUGCCCUGGGCUGGGGCAAGGCUGGGGGAGUCAGAACUCAAGGGCAUGCCCGGGAGAUGGGCCACCUGGGACUGGGAAGGGCAGGCAUCCACAGCACAGCCCACCCCCGCCGAGGCUGCACCCAGCGGCCUCAGUGCGCCGUCCAUCAAGGGCAGCUGGGCCACGGCCAGAACAGCCGCCGGCUUAGUCAGUGGUGACUCAGGGCAGUGUCCUGGGCCCCAUUUGCCACCCCCCUCCCUGGGAAAGACCCAGCAGAGCUACCCCUUUGGGCCCUCUGGGACUGGAUACUCCCCUGGGGUCUGCAACAAGUCCCUGGCCCUUCCAGGCAUCUAGUGCAGGUGCUGCCCCUGUCCCCAGCCUGCUCAGGCUCCUGGGAAUACAGUCCAGCAUCACUGCCCAGAGGGGCAAUCAGAGCAGAAAGCCCUGAGACCCCACAUCCUGUUGGCAGGCCUCUGCAUCCUGGGGUGAUGGGGACAUGAGGAGACUGGGUCCCUGUUCCUGGGAACUACAGGAGGUGGGCAGGCCCUCUCUCCCAGGAGGGUCUUGGCAUGGGUGGCUGGGAGUCUGGCCCUGCCUUGCUGUUGGAUCUUGGCCCUCGCUGAAUCUGUUCCAUCAGUUAUUCACUCAGCAAAUGCUCUUUGGCUGAAUGGCCGGACCAGGGCUGGGGUGCGGGUGUGUUUGCCAGGGAGGUCUUGGGGGCUGGCUGAGGCCAGAGGCAGCACCUUCUGGAUCCGGCCUCAGGCUCCCUGCUGUGCACACAGGGAAACUGAGGCGGAGGGAGGCGGGCCCUUGCCAGGUCACACAGCACACAGGCUGAGCCAGGGCUGGCACCCUGCUCUUCCCCUGUACCAAGCUUUGCUUUCCCCAGGAAGCUGGGAGUCUUGAGCAAGAGGCUGUGGCUCCUGCCCAAGGUUGUGAUGUACUUUUGUGGAGCUGCCCAGGGGAUCUCUGUGGGGCACGUUGCAGCCUCUGCUCCCUGCCCAGGCAUGAGCCUCAUUGCCCUUGGAGGUGGAGAUGUUUCUACGGUGUGGAGAGCCUGAGGCUGAGCUUUGAUGGCCAGUGGGCCACGGGCAUGGUGGCUGGGAGAGGGACCUGGAGUGGGGAGGCUGCAGGCUGAGCCCCACUGGGGGUCAAGGGUAAAGCUGGCUGGAGA